GAACGAACGCUGGCGGCGUGCCUAACACAUGCAAGUCGAACGAGAAUUUUCCCUUCGGGGGAAUAGUAAAGUGGCGCAAGGGUGAGUAACACGUGAAUAAUCUGCCUACGAAUUUGGGAUAACGCGGCGAAAGCUGUGCUAAUACCAGAUAAGACCACGUCUCUUAUGUGAUGUGGCCAAAGGAGCCUCAAGCUCCGUUUGUAGAUGAGUUCGCGGACCAUUAGCUAGUUGGAGGGAUAACAGCCCACCAAGGCAACGAUGGUUAGCCGGCCUGAGAGGGUGAACGGCCACACUGGAACUGAGACACGGUCCAGACUCCUACGGGAGGCAGCAGUGGGGAAUAUUGCGCAAUGGGCGAAAGCCUGACGCAGCAAUGCCGCGUGAGGGAUGAAGGAUUUUGGUUCGUAAACCUCUGUCAAAUGGGAAGAAUUCUGACGGUACCAUUAAAGGAAGCCCCGGCUAACUCCGUGCCAGCAGCCGCGGUAAUACGGAGGGGGCAAGCGUUGUUCGGAAUCAUUGGGCGUAAAGAGUAUGUAGGCGGCUGGACAAGUCAGACGUGUAAGCCCGUGGCUCAACCACGGAAUUGCGUUUGAAACUGUUUAACUUGAGUGCAGGAGAGGAAAGCGGAAUUUCAGGUGUAGCGGUGGAAUGCGUAGAUAUCAGAAGGAACAUCAAUGGCGAAGGCAGCUUUCUGGACUAAUACUGACACUGAGGUACGAAAGCGUGGGUAGCAAACAGGAUUAGAUACCCUGGUAGUCCACGCCGUAAACGAUGAUAACUAGCCGUUGGGGGGGAUUUACCCUUUAGUGGCGAAGCUAACGCGUUAAGUUAUCCGCCUGGGGAGUACGGCCGCAAGGUUAAAACUCAAAGGAAUUGACGGGGACCCGCACAAGCGGUGGAACAUGUGGUUUAAUUCGAUGCAACGCGAAGAACCUUACCUGGUCUUGACAUAUCCGGAACUUUCUAGAGAUGGAUUGGUGCCUUCGGGAAUCGUAGCACAGGUGCUGCAUGGCUGUCGUCAGCUCGUGUCGUGAGAUGUUGGGUUAAGUCCCGCAACGAGCGCAACCCUCAUCCUUAGUUGCCAUCAGUUCGGCUGGGCACUCUAGGGAAACUGCCGGUGACAAGCCGGAGGAAGGUGGGGAUGACGUCAAGUCCUCAUGGCCCUUACGGGUUGGGCUACACACGUGCUACAAUGGCGGUGACAAUGGGUCGCAAGCCCGCGAGGGUGAGCUAAUCUCCAAAAACCGUCUCAGUUCGGAUUGUUCUCUGCAACUCGAGAGCAUGAAGUUGGAAUCGCUAGUAAUCGUGGAUCAGCAUGCCACGGUGAAUACGUUCCCGGGCCUUGUACACACCGC
RNAcentral lists this ribosomal RNA (1355 nucleotides) under uncultured prokaryote. RNAcentral's name for it is "partial 16S ribosomal RNA". It matches the Rfam family "Bacterial small subunit ribosomal RNA", at positions 27 to 1393 of the family's 1533-position model. The record is from RNAcentral.